This 584-nucleotide ribosomal RNA is filed under the name uncultured bacterium. RNAcentral's name for it is "bacterial SSU rRNA". It matches the Rfam family "Bacterial small subunit ribosomal RNA", at positions 102 to 682 of the family's 1533-position model. The record is from RNAcentral.
ACGGGUGAGUAAUGUCUGGGAAACUGCCCGAUGGAGGGGGAUAACUACUGGAAACGGUAGCUAAUACCGCAUAACGUCUUCGGACCAAAGUGGGGGACCUUCGGGCCUCACACCAUCGGAUGUGCCCAGAUGGGAUUAGCUAGUAGGUGGGGUAACGGCUCACCUAGGCGACGAUCCCUAGCUGGUCUGAGAGGAUGACCAGCCACACUGGAACUGAGACACGGUCCAGACUCCUACGGGAGGCAGCAGUGGGGAAUAUUGCACAAUGGGCGCAAGCCUGAUGCAGCCAUGCCGCGUGUAUGAAGAAGGCCUUCGGGUUGUAAAGUACUUUCAGCGGGGAGGAAGGCGAUGUGGUUAAUAACCGCGUCGAUUGACGUUACCCGCAGAAGAAGCACCGGCUAACUCCGUGCCAGCAGCCGCGGUAAUACGGAGGGUGCAAGCGUUAAUCGGAAUUACUGGGCGUAAAGCGCACGCAGGCGGUCUGUCAAGUCGGAUGUGAAAUCCCCGGGCUUAACCUGGGAACUGCAUUCGAAACUGGCAGGCUUGAGUCUCGUAGAGGGGGGUAGAAUUCCAGGUGUAGCGGU